Molecule: ribosomal RNA, 546 nt
Filed under: Alternaria sp.
Lineage: Eukaryota; Fungi; Ascomycota; Dothideomycetes; Pleosporales; Pleosporaceae
Description: partial 18S ribosomal RNA
Rfam family: 5.8S ribosomal RNA (bases 184-337)
Source: RNAcentral
CCUGCGGAGGGAUCAUUACACAAAUAUGAAGGCGGGCUGGAACCUCUCGGGGUUACAGCCUUGCUGAAUUAUUCACCCUUGUCUUUUGCGUACUUCUUGUUUCCUUGGUGGGUUCGCCCACCACUAGGACAAACAUAAACCUUUUGUAAUUGCAAUCAGCGUCAGUAACAAAUUAAUAAUUACAACUUUCAACAACGGAUCUCUUGGUUCUGGCAUCGAUGAAGAACGCAGCGAAAUGCGAUAAGUAGUGUGAAUUGCAGAAUUCAGUGAAUCAUCGAAUCUUUGAACGCACAUUGCGCCCUUUGGUAUUCCAAAGGGCAUGCCUGUUCGAGCGUCAUUUGUACCCUCAAGCUUUGCUUGGUGUUGGGCGUCUUGUCUCUAGCUUUGCUGGAGACUCGCCUUAAAGUAAUUGGCAGCCGGCCUACUGGUUUCGGAGCGCAGCACAAGUCGCACUCUCUAUCAGCAAAGGUCUAGCAUCCAUUAAGCCUUUUUUUCAACUUUUGACCUCGGAUCAGGUAGGGAUACCCGCUGAACUUAAGCAUAUCA